Molecule: non-coding RNA, 780 nt
Filed under: Trichomonas vaginalis G3
Lineage: Eukaryota; Parabasalia; Trichomonadida; Trichomonadidae
Description: Eukaryotic large subunit ribosomal RNA
Rfam family: Eukaryotic large subunit ribosomal RNA
Source: Rfam by way of RNAcentral
AGCCAACGAAGCACCGGUAAAUAGCUGGGGUAACUAUGACUCUUAUCAAAGUAGCGAAAUACCUCGUCACUUAAUUAGUGACCUGCAUGAACGGAGCUAUGAGGUUCUCACUGUCCCAAACUGUCUCUCAGCGAACCAACUGUAGUGGGAACGGUCACUAGAUAUCCAGCGGGGAAAGAAGACCCUGUAGAGCUUCACUUUGGUCUAGUCUUGUAUAGUUCCUGCGGGGGUGUAGACUAGGUGGGAGAGCAAUCGAUUCUGAAAAACCACUACCCUGUUUGGAAUUAUGCUUACCUAUCACAAGGAAUAGGACUAGAUAGAAAGUUUGGCUGGGGCGGCACACCUUCGAAAGAGCAGCGAAGGUGUCCUAAGUUGAGCUCAGUGAGGACAGAAAUCUCACGUUGAGGAUAAGGCCAAAAGCUCAAUUUACUGUGCCUUUUUGUACUAAGAUCAGUUACGAAAGUAAGGCCUAACGAUCCCUAAAUAGCCUCAUGUGCGUGAGGAUUGGGGUGACAGACAAGUUACCUCCGGGACAACUGGCUUGUGGCUGCUAAGAGAUCAAAUCAACGCAGCUUUUUGAUUCUUCGAUGUCGGCUCUUCCUAUCCUAGUGAUGUACAAGUUGCUAAGGGUCGGAUUGUUCACCCGUAUUAGGGAUCGUGAGCUGGGUUUAGACCGUCGUGAGCCAGGUUUGUUUUAUCCUACUGGAUAUAGCAUCAUGAUAGUAGAUUGAUUUAGUACGAGAGGAACUGUUGAUUAUGGCCUCUGGUUAGCGAUUAUCG